GUCCUGCUGACCGCUACUUCUUUUUCUGUUUUUCCCCUUUGUCGUCUUCUUCUUCUUCUUCUUCUUCUUCUUCUUCAGGGGGCACCUCGGAAAAAAACGUGGCCGCAGCUUCUGCACCACCAGCCACGGGAUGUCAAAUGAAACAAACGGAGAGGAGAGAAAGCGGAUCGGAUGCUCGUGUGGUCUCAGCAGCGAUAAUAACGGUGACGGCAGCCUCUAACUGAGAUGACAUUGAGCUCCCUUUACGCGCCAGCUUUUCCAACCGGCGGUUCCCUCCUCCUCUUCCUCCUCCUCUUCCUCUCCCCCUUCUCUCUCUCUCUCUCCCUCGCUCUCUUUUUUUUCUAGGCACGCGCGCUGAAUAAUGCAGGGCUCGCGAGGUCCCGGGAGUCUUUUCUGUCCCGUUCCAGAGACAAUCGGAGAGCGAGCAGCCAGAGCGAGCUGCAGCCAGGCACAAUGAGGCCGACCCGCGCGGAUCAGCUCGAACCCCCCCCACCACCACCACGCCGCUCUCAAAUGUGCUCAGGUGGCGUUUUCAGGGAAACAAAAGCAAACUCCGAACUCUCCAGAACAGGCUAUGUUGUACCUACUAUUGAUACCAGGGGGGCGCCUCAGGGUUCCUGCAAAACAAGGGCAUGGGAGCUCCUAGACUGAUCCAACCAUCUGUUUAUCUACUGAAAUGGAUUUUACUUGUGCUUCCUGUGUGCUGCAUGAGGUCUUGCCAUAAUGGACAAUAAGCAAGAUUUGUGACCGGAGGAGGAUGCAGUGUUACUAUCUCUGUGGCAAUCCUGAAAGAGACCAGUGAUGUCACUGUCCCACCCUGUCAACCAACCACAGGACAGUUGCCAUGGAUACAACUGGGUGGGCAGCAACUGCUUUCCACAUCAUACAGUAGGAGGAGGAAGAGCAGACAUCUGGUUUUAUGUGAUCAUGGACAGGAUGUGAAGAGUGACAUUUGGCACAAAAACAGAUAAGGAGCACCUGCUGUUUCAGUGACAAAGGCCAGGCUGCAAAGUUAGCAUCUCCUCCUGCACACAAUGGCUGCUAUUUCUCGCUCACUCUGUCGCUCUGUGAGUUCCCCACAUUGGGUUACGACAGGGAGGACUGCCACACAAACUGCCUCUCUUUUUUCUUUUCCUCUGUCUGUGCUUGAUGGGGUUAGUGACCUUAGGUAUUUGUAUGAAAUAGCCUGCACAAAGAUUGCACUGUUGCUCUGUUUCCCCCUCACUUUAUGUGAUUUCCAGUUUAAGGUCAACAGCAGGCAGCACUUAGAAUACCACACAAAGACGCUGCUGUUGUCUGUAUGUCUUUGUUUUUUGUUUUUUAUAAUGUGUUUUCCAUUAAGUUUGCAUAAUUGUAUGAAUAAUAUGAAGGGACUCUUGUUCUUUCUUGCUGCUUUUCCUUUUUUCCCCUCUUACAUUGACAGAGCUGUUCCUCCUCUUUCUCUCACUCCUGUUUAUGUGUUCUCUGGUGCAUGAAACGAUUUGAGCAUCUAUAAAAGAGCUGCAGCUUUGUCUUUGUCACUUUCUGUCAUUAAAGUGUCCACUAGUGCCUGUGUUAUUAGUCUAACAGCCAUAAAAGUAGGAUGGACAAGACGUCUGGGCUUCUGUACUUUCAGUUACAAACUUCAUUGAGUGGAGUCUGUUUCAGAAAUGUUUAUAGGUGGAGGUAGGUGUAGUUUUCAUGGAGAUCCAGGUUUAUAUAUAAUUGUGGCUUUUCACACACUCGGUUUCACACACACACAGAUAAUGCCACAUUUGUCCCAACUAUUUACCUCUGUCCCUAUCAGUAGUGGAAAGACUCUGGUUGCCUGGGUUACGUGAUAUUCUGGGAUGUUGUCCCACAGAGUGUAAAUAUAGAUGCCACACCCUCUGCCUGAAAUGCACGCAUACACACACGCAUAUGCACACACACACGCACACACACACACAGGCGUGAGCAGUCUAUCACUGUCCAAAGCAUCUAAAUAGAAAUAUCUCCUGUCCUCACAGCGUGACAUCACACCCAAAUGAAUGACAGCUUUUUAAAGUUUUUCACAAUGUAGACUUUAUCUCUUCCAAAGGUCGAUAUUUUGAGGUAGUUUAGUAAAACGAUUUUGUUAUGGCCUUUCAAGUUCAGGAUUUGUGUGACUGAGGGCACUCCUUAAGACUCCCACACAUGUGCUCUGUGACUUUAUUUUACCCGCCGGACAAGAUUGUUUUCCGAAAGCCCUGAGAAUUUAAUCCCAGACAGCUGAGCUCCUCUUGAAGCAAUUUUCAGCACCCA
Lates calcarifer (barramundi perch) is the source of this 2262-nucleotide long non-coding RNA. RefSeq lists it as uncharacterized. Lineage: Eukaryota; Metazoa; Chordata; Actinopteri; Centropomidae. The record is from RefSeq and is a predicted model, not a curated record. The transcript is spliced from 7 exons.